GAGCUUGCUCAGAUAUGACGAUGGACAUUGCAAAGAGUGGCGAACGGGUGAGUAACACGUGGGAAACCUACCUCUUAGCAGGGGAUAACAUUUGGAAACAGAUGCUAAUACCGUAUAACAAUGACAACCGCAUGGUUGUUAUUUGAAAGAUGGUUCUGCUAUCACUAAGAGAUGGUCCCGCGGUGCAUUAGCUAGUUGGUAAGGUAAUGGCUUACCAAGGCGAUGAUGCAUAGCCGAGUUGAGAGACUGAUCGGCCACAAUGGGACUGAGACACGGCCCAUACUCCUACGGGAGGCAGCAGUAGGGAAUCUUCCACAAUGGGCGAAAGCCUGAUGGAGCAACGCCGCGUGUGUGAUGAAGGGUUUCGGCUCGUAAAACACUGUUGUAAGAGAAGAAUGACAUUGAGAGUAACUGUUCAAUGUGUGACGGUAUCUUACCAG
Molecule: ribosomal RNA, 440 nt
Filed under: Weissella confusa
Lineage: Bacteria; Bacillati; Bacillota; Bacilli; Lactobacillales; Lactobacillaceae
Description: bacterial SSU rRNA
Rfam family: Bacterial small subunit ribosomal RNA
Source: RNAcentral